CAGCGCCACGAGUGGCAAUCACAUUUAUUGGGCCUAAAGCGUCCGUAGCAGGACUAGUACAUCUUUCGUGAAAUCCUCGGGCUUAACUCGAGGACGUGCGAGAGACACGACUAGUCUAGGGAAUGGGAGGAGUCAGAGGUAUUUGAGGGGGACUGGUAAAAUGGUAUAAUCCCUCAAGGACCACCGAUGGCGAAGGCAUCUGACCAGAACAUAUCCGACUGUGAGGGACGAAAGCCAGGGGAGCGAACCGGAUUAGAUACCCGAGUAGUCC
RNAcentral lists this ribosomal RNA (271 nucleotides) under uncultured archaeon. RNAcentral's name for it is "partial 16S ribosomal RNA". It matches the Rfam family "Archaeal small subunit ribosomal RNA", at positions 477 to 747 of the family's 1478-position model. The record is from RNAcentral.